AGGUUUAGCAGUGACAAUAUCGUAGCCAAUGAAGGCCUCCUCCUGAGGUGUGAUUAUUGCUAGUUGAAAACUCUUCUCAAGUAUUAGGCUUUCGAAUGUCCUUUGUUUAAAAUUUAAAUAUUUUAACGCUGUUUAAGU
RNAcentral lists this small nuclear RNA (138 nucleotides) under Rhodnius prolixus. RNAcentral's name for it is "U4 spliceosomal RNA". It matches the Rfam family "U4 spliceosomal RNA". From Rfam's summary of the family: U4 small nuclear RNA (U4 snRNA) is a component of the major U2-dependent spliceosome. The structure of U4 snRNA from yeast and human has been reported. Lineage: Eukaryota; Metazoa; Arthropoda; Insecta; Hemiptera; Reduviidae. The record is from Rfam by way of RNAcentral.